This 1462-nucleotide unclassified non-coding RNA is filed under the name uncultured Neocallimastigales. RNAcentral describes it as "partial contains small subunit ribosomal RNA, internal transcribed spacer 1, 5.8S ribosomal RNA, internal transcribed spacer 2, and large subunit ribosomal RNA". The stretch from base 685 to 1462 matches the Rfam family "Eukaryotic large subunit ribosomal RNA", at positions 1 to 631 of the family's 3401-position model. Lineage: Eukaryota; Fungi; Neocallimastigomycota; Neocallimastigomycetes; Neocallimastigales. The record is from RNAcentral.
GCGGAAGUAAAAGUCGUAACAAGGUUUCCGUAGGUGAACCUGCGGAAGGAUCAUUAAAAAAAUUGGACUCCAUUGGUGAGCUCAUUAAUAAUCCCUACCCUUUGUGAAUUUGUUUGUUUGAAUAAUUUUUUUUCCAAAAAAAAUUAUUGAAUGUCUUUCCUUGUUUUGGUGGAGCUUGUAAAGUGAAACCAGGCAGGGGAAUGGCAAACAAUAAUUAUUUUUGAAAAAGACCUUUUUUUAAAAUUAAACUUUUUGUAUUCAUUUGUCUAAAAUUAAUUUUUAUAAUAUAAAAACAACUUUUGACAAUGGAUCUCUUGGUUCUCGCAACGAUGAGGAACGCAGCAAAAUGCGAUAAGUAGUGUGAAUUGCAGAAUACGUGAAUCAUCGAAUCUUCGAACGCAUAUUGCACUUUUUUAGUUUACUAAAAAAGUAUGUCUGUUUGAGUAUCAGUAAAAUAUUCUCAUAAAAACAUUGUUUUUUUUAUGGUUAUGAGUGUUUUACAACGAUAACAAGUUGUUUCACUUUAAAUUCUUUGUUAUCAAAAAAAUCAUUAAAAGCUAAUUUUAAAGAUUUUUUAAAAUUGGAUAAAAUUUUCCCGUAAAAAGGAAUAACCUAAACAAUUUUAAAAAAUUAAAAUUGGUUUGAUUUUUUUUGAAACCCAAAGGAAAAAAAACGAAAUUAACUUGAUCUCAAAUCAGAUAAGAGUACCCGCUGAACUUAAGCAUAUCAAUAAGCGGAGGAAAAGAAACUAACUAGGAUUCCCUCAGUAACGGCGAGUGAAGCGGGAAGAGCUCAAAUUUGAAAUCUUCAAGGUUUUACCUUGACGAAUUGUAGUUUAAAGAAGUGUUUUCUGUUGGAGUUUUGGUAAAGUUCUUUGGAAAAGGACAUCAUAGAGGGUGAGAAUCCCGUAUUUGACCAUUAUCUCCAGCUUUGUGAUACACUUUCAAAGAGUCGGAUUGUUUGGGAAUGCAGUCCAAAAUGGGUGGUAAAUUUCAUCUAAAGCUAAAUACUGGCGAGAGACCGAUAGCGAACAAGUACCGUGAGGGAAAGAUGAAAAGAACUUUGAAAAGAGAGUUAAACAGUACGUGAAAUUGUCAAAAGGGAAGCGUUUGACACCAGUGUUGUUUUCUCGAAAAUCAAUUAAAAAAGGCCGGAUUUUGUGUUGUAUUGACUUUAUCAGCUUUCUGCACUCUUUUCUUGUCUUUUUAAUGCACUUUUCGUUUAACAAGUCAACAUCAAUUUCUUUUGUUGUAAAAGGGUCAUUGGAAGGUGGCUUUCUUUUCGGAGAAGUGUUUAUAGCCUUUGGCCUCUGCAAUCGGAGAGAUUGAGGUCUGCAGCGUAGAUCCUUCGGGGUUAGAUACAUUUGUGCUAAGUUAUAGCCUUUCAUAGACAACUUGUUGACUAUGAUCAGUCAUGUAGCUUACUCGCUUAUGCUAUUUUACCUACGCUUAGGAUGUUGAGU